ACGUCCAUACCAUGCUGAAUACACCGGUUGUCGUCCGAUCACCGAAGUUAAGCAGCGUUGGGCGCGGUCAGUACUUGAAUGAGUGACGCCUAGGAACAUAGCGU
Eumeta japonica is the source of this 104-nucleotide non-coding RNA. NCBI's taxonomy places the organism in Eukaryota, Metazoa, Arthropoda, Insecta, Lepidoptera, Psychidae. The record is from the annotation of a GenBank genome assembly.